This 390-nucleotide ribosomal RNA is filed under the name uncultured bacterium. RNAcentral's name for it is "bacterial SSU rRNA". It matches the Rfam family "Bacterial small subunit ribosomal RNA", at positions 28 to 417 of the family's 1533-position model. The record is from RNAcentral.
GACGAACGCUGGCGGCGUGCUUAACACAUGCAAGUCGAGCGGUAAGGCCCUUUCGGGGGUACGACGAGCGGCGAACGGGUGAGUAACACGUGGGUGACCUGCCCUCAGCUCUGGGAUAAGCCUGGGAAACUGGGUCUAAUACCGGAUAUGACUCCAUGACGCAUGUUGUGGGGUGGAAAGCCUUGUGCGGCUGGGGAGUGGGCCCGCGGCCUAUCAGCUUGUUGGUGGGGUGAUGGCCUACCAAGGCGACGACGGGUAGCCGGCCUGAGAGGGCGACCGGCCACACUGGGACUGAGACACGGCCCAGACUCCUACGGGAGGCAGCAGUGGGGAAUCUUGCGCAAUGGGCGAAAGCCUGACGCAGCGACGCCGCGUGAGGGAUGACGGCCU